This 465-nucleotide ribosomal RNA is filed under the name uncultured bacterium. Its description in RNAcentral is "partial 16S ribosomal RNA". It matches the Rfam family "Bacterial small subunit ribosomal RNA", at positions 28 to 507 of the family's 1533-position model. The record is from RNAcentral.
GACGAACGCUGGCGGCGUGCUUAACACAUGCAAGUCGAACGGAAAGGCCCUGCUUGCCGGGUACUCGAGUGGCGAACGGGUGAGUAACACGUGGGUGAUCUGCCCUGCACUUCGGGAUAAGCCUGGGAAACUGGGUCUAAUACCGGAUAGGAGCCAUUUUUAGUGUGAUGGUUGGAAAGUUUUUUCGGUGUAGGAUGAGCUCGCGGCCUAUCAGCUUGUUGGUGGGGUAAUGGCCUACCAAGGCGGCGACGGGUAGCCGGCCUGAGAGGGUGGACGGCCACAUUGGGACUGAGAUACGGCCCAGACGCCUACGGGAGGCAGCAGUGGGGAAUAUUGCACAAGGGGCGCAAGCCUGAUGCAGCGACGCCGCGUGGGGGAUGACGGCCUUCGGGUUGUAAACUCCGUUCGCUAGGGACGAAGCUUUUUGUGACGGUACCUAGAGAAGAAGCACCGGCUAACUACGUG